AACGAACGCUGGCGGCAUGCCUAACACAUGCAGGUCGAACGAGACCUUCGGGCCUAGUGGCGCACGGGUGCGUAACGCGUGGGAACCUGCCCUUAGGUUCGGAAUAACUCCCCGAAAGGGGUGCUAAUACCGGAUAGUGUCUUCCGACCAAAGAUUUUUCGCCUUUGGAUGGGCCCGCGUUGGAUUCGCUAGUUGGUAGGGUAAAAGCCUACCAAGGGGACGAUCCAUAGCUGGUCUGAUAGGAUGCUCAUCCCCACUGGGACUGAGACACGGCCCAGUCUCGUACGGGACGCAGCAGUGGGGAAUAUUGGACAAUGGGCGAAAGCCUGAUCCAGCAACGCCGGGUGAGUGGUGAAGGGCUUAGGGUUGUAAAGCUCUUUUAGCCGGGAUGAUAAUGACAGUACCGGGAGAAUAAGCACCGGCUAACUCCGUG
RNAcentral lists this ribosomal RNA (433 nucleotides) under uncultured bacterium. RNAcentral describes it as "partial 16S ribosomal RNA". It matches the Rfam family "Bacterial small subunit ribosomal RNA", at positions 29 to 507 of the family's 1533-position model. The record is from RNAcentral.